GAUAUGUCCGCCUACACUGAGAAA
This 24-nucleotide non-coding RNA is filed under the name Rattus norvegicus (Norway rat). The record is from RNAcentral. Lineage: Eukaryota; Metazoa; Chordata; Mammalia; Rodentia; Muridae.